AUUGAACGCUGGCGGCAGGCCUAACACAUGCAAGUCGAACGGUAACAGGAAGCAGCUUGCUGCUUCGCGGGCGAGAGGCGGACGUGUGAGCUAGGUCUGUGAAGCGGCGUGAUGGAGGGGGACAACUACUGGAAGCUGUAGCCAAUACCGCACAGUGGCGGAAGGCGAAAGAGGGGGAGCCUCCGGGCUCUCGCCAGAGGCUGGGUCCAGAUGGGAUUAGCGUGUUGGUGGGGUAAAGGCUCACCAAGGCGACGAUCCGUAGCUGGUCUGAGAGGAUGACCAGCCACACUGGAACUGAGACACGGUCCAGACUCCUACGGGAGGCAGCAGUGGGGAAUAUUGGACAAUGGGCGCAAGCCUGAUGCAGCCAUGCCGCGUGUAUGAAGAAGGCCUUCGGGUUGUAAAGUACUUUAAGCGGGGAGGAAGGGAAUUAAGUUAAUACCUUGCCUCAUUGACGUUACCCGCAGAAGAAGCACCGGCUAACUCCGUG
RNAcentral lists this ribosomal RNA (490 nucleotides) under uncultured bacterium. Its description in RNAcentral is "partial 16S ribosomal RNA". It matches the Rfam family "Bacterial small subunit ribosomal RNA", at positions 29 to 507 of the family's 1533-position model. The record is from RNAcentral.